AACGAACGCUGGCGGCAUGCCUAACACAUGCAAGUCGAACGAGACCUUCGGGUCUAGUGGCGCACGGGUGCGUAACGCGUGGGAACCUGCCCUCAUGUUUGGAAUAACUCCCCGAAAGGGGUGCUAAUACCGGAUAAUGUCUUCGGACCAAAGAUUUAUCGCCUUUGGAUGGGCCCGCGUUGGAUUAGCUAGUUGGUAGGGUAAAAGCCUACCAAGGCGACGAUCCAUAGCUGGUCUGAGAGGAUGAUCAGCCACACUGGGACUGAGACACGGCCCAGACUCCUACGGGAGGCAGCAGUGGGGAAUAUUGGACAAUGGGCGAAAGCCUGAUCCAGCAAUGCCGCGUGAGUGAUGAAGGCCUUAGGGUUGUAAAGCUCUUUUACCCGGGAUGAUAAUGACAGUACCGGGAGAAUAAGCUCCGGCUAACUCCGUG
Molecule: ribosomal RNA, 433 nt
Filed under: uncultured bacterium
Lineage: Bacteria
Description: partial 16S ribosomal RNA
Rfam family: Bacterial small subunit ribosomal RNA
Source: RNAcentral